RNAcentral lists this ribosomal RNA (509 nucleotides) under Nepa hoffmanni. RNAcentral's name for it is "partial 16S ribosomal RNA". It matches the Rfam family "Bacterial large subunit ribosomal RNA", at positions 1829 to 2597 of the family's 2925-position model. The record is from RNAcentral. Lineage: Eukaryota; Metazoa; Arthropoda; Insecta; Hemiptera; Nepidae.
GUCUUUUAGGUAUUUAUUUAAGGUCUAACCUGCCCAAUGAUUAUAAUUAAAUGGCCGCGGUAUCCUAACCGUGCAAAGGUAGCAUAAUCACUUGUCUCUUAAUUGGAGGCUCGUAUGAAUGGUUGGACGAGAAAUUUACUUUCUUUAUUUUAAUUUAAUGAAUUUUAUUUUUAAGUGAAAAAGCUUAAAUUUUUUUAUAGGACGAGAAGACCCUGUAGAGUUUUAUAGUUUUAUUUUUAUGGAAUUUUUAGUUUAUAUUAUUUCUAUAUUUUGUUUCUAUUUUGUUGGGGCGACAGGGGGAUUUUUUUAACUCUCUUUAAUUUUUUUCACGGAUGAGUGUUUUAUUGAUCCUAUUUUAUUGAUUAAAAGAUUAAAUUACCUCAGGGAUAACAGCGUAAUUCUUUUGGAGAGUUCUUAUCAAUAAAAGAGUUUGCGACCUCGAUGUUGAAUUAAGAUUAGCUUUGGGGGUAGGUUUUCAAUUGCUAGGUCUGUUCGACCUUUAAAUUCUU